GAUGAACGCUAGCUACAGGCUUAACACAUGCAAGUCGAGGGGAAACGAUAUUGGAAGCUUGCUUCCGAUAGGCGUCGACCGGCGCACGGGUGAGUAACGCGUAUCCAACCUGCCCACCACGUUGGGGAUAACCUUGCGAAAGUAAGACUAAUACCCAAUGAUAUCUCUAGACGACAUCUGAAAGGGAUUAAAGAUUUAUCGGUGAUGGAUGGGGGUGCGUCUGAUUAGCUUGUUGGCGGGGUAACGGCCCACCAAGGCGACGAUCAGUAGGGGUUCUGAGAGGAAGGUCCCCCACAUUGGAACUGAGACACGGUCCAAACUCCUACGGGAGGCAGCAGUGAGGAAUAUUGGUCAAUGGGCGAGAGCCUGAACCAGCCAAGUAGCGUGCAGGACGACGGCCCUAUGGGUUGUAAACUGCUUUUAUAAGGGAAUAAAGUGAGUCUCGUGAGACUUUUGCAUGUACCUUAUGAAUAAGGACCGGCUAAUUCCGUG
This 492-nucleotide ribosomal RNA is filed under the name uncultured bacterium. RNAcentral's name for it is "bacterial SSU rRNA". It matches the Rfam family "Bacterial small subunit ribosomal RNA", at positions 28 to 507 of the family's 1533-position model. The record is from RNAcentral.